CGCGGCCUAUCAGCUUGUUGGUGAGGUAAUGACUCACCAAGGCGUCGACGGGUAGCCGGCCUGAGAGGGUGACCGGCCACACUGGGACUGAGACACGGCCCAGACUCCUACGGGAGGCAGCAGUGGGGAAUAUUGCACAAUGGGCGCAAGCCUGAUGCAGCGACGCCGCGUGGGGGAUGAAUGCCUUCGGGUUGUAAACCCUUUUCAGGAGGGACGAAGCGAAAGUGACGGUACCUCCAGAAGAAGCCCCGGCCAACUACGUGCCAGCAGCCGCGGUAAUACGUAGGGGGCGAGCGUUGUCCGGAUUUAUUGGGCGUAAAGAGCUCGUAGGCGGCUCAGCAAGUCGGCCGUGAAAACCUGAGGCUCAACCUCAGGACGCCGGUCGAAACUGCUGUGGCUAGGGUCCGGUAGAGGAGAGUGGAAUUCCCGGUGUAGCGGUGAAAUGCGCAGAUAUCGGGAGGAACACCAGUAGCGAAGGCGGCUCUCUGGGCCGGCACCGACGCUGAGGAGCGAAAGCUAGGGGAGCAAACAGGAUUAGAUACCCUGGUAGUCCUAGCCGUAAACGUUGGGCACUAGGUGUGGCGGAGUCAUUGACAUCUGCCGUGCCGAAGCUAACGCAUUAAGUGCCCCGCCUGGGGAGUACGGA
This 646-nucleotide ribosomal RNA is filed under the name uncultured Actinomycetes bacterium. RNAcentral's name for it is "bacterial SSU rRNA". It matches the Rfam family "Bacterial small subunit ribosomal RNA", at positions 232 to 886 of the family's 1533-position model. Lineage: Bacteria; Bacillati; Actinomycetota; Actinomycetes. The record is from RNAcentral.